UACCGAUGGCGAAGGCAGCCUCCUGGCAUCAUACUGACACUGAGGUUCGAAAGCGUGGGUAGCAAACAGGAUUAGAUACCCCUGGUAGUCCACGCCGUAAACGAUGUCUACUAGUCGUUGGGGAACUUGAUUCCUUAGUGACGCAGCUAACGCAAUAAGUAGACCGCCUGGGGGAGUACCGNCNCCAAGGU
This 191-nucleotide ribosomal RNA is filed under the name uncultured bacterium. RNAcentral's name for it is "partial 16S ribosomal RNA". It matches the Rfam family "Bacterial small subunit ribosomal RNA", at positions 707 to 894 of the family's 1533-position model. The record is from RNAcentral.